Molecule: ribosomal RNA, 250 nt
Filed under: uncultured prokaryote
Description: partial 16S ribosomal RNA
Rfam family: Bacterial small subunit ribosomal RNA
Source: RNAcentral
UACGGGGGGUGUAAGCGUUGUUCGGAAUUACUGGGCGUAAAGGGCGUGCAGGCGGUCACCGCAAGUUAAAUGUGAAAUCCCUGGGCUUAACCCAUGACGUGCGUUUAAGACCGCGGGACUUGAAUACGGGAGAGGGUUGUGGAAUUCCUGGUGUAGAGGUGAAAUUCGUAGAUAUCAGGAGGAACACUCGUGGCGAAGGCGACAACCUGGACCGAUAUUGACGCUGAGACGCGAAAGCGUGGGUAGCAAA